Molecule: ribosomal RNA, 451 nt
Filed under: uncultured bacterium
Lineage: Bacteria
Description: partial 16S ribosomal RNA
Rfam family: Bacterial small subunit ribosomal RNA
Source: RNAcentral
AACGAACGCUGGCGGCAGGCUUAACACAUGCAAGUCGAACGGGUGUAGCAAUACAUCAGUGGCAGACGGGUGAGUAACACGUGGGAACCUUCCUAGGGGUACGGAACAACUCAGGGAAACUUGAGCUAAUACCGUAUACGUCCGUGAGGAGAAAGAUUUAUCGCACUUAGACGGGCCCGCGUCGGAUUAGCUAGUUGGUGGGGUAACGGCCUACCAAGGGGACGAUCCGUAGCUGAUCUUAGAGGAUGAUCAGCCACACUGGGACUGAGACACGGCCCAGACUCCUACGGGAGGCAGCAGUGAGGAAUCUUGAACAAUGGGCGCAAGCCUGAUCCAGCCAUGCCGCGUGAGUGAAGAAGGUCUUCGGAUUGUAAAGCUCUUUUGCCAGGGACGAUAAUGACGGUACCUGGAGAAUAAGCCCCGGCAAACUUCGUGCCAGCAGCCGCCGUAA